This 72-nucleotide transfer RNA is filed under the name Camelus bactrianus (Bactrian camel). It matches the Rfam family "tRNA". From Rfam's summary of the family: Transfer RNA (tRNA) molecules are approximately 80 nucleotides in length. The record is from Rfam by way of RNAcentral. RNAcentral also lists the same sequence under 1 other name. Lineage: Eukaryota; Metazoa; Chordata; Mammalia; Artiodactyla; Camelidae.
GUGGGUAUAGCUCAGUGGUAGAAUGCAUGUUUAGCAUGCAUGAGAUACUGGGUUCAAUCCCCAGUGUCUCCA